UCAUCAUCAUCAUGAGCGUAAACAUCUCAUUAAUGGAUAAUCAUCAUCAUCCCGAUGAUUAGGGAUCAGAUCCCUGCUCAGAUCCCUAAUCUCCGUCUGCAACGGAUUGUUACUCCUCUCAAACCCUAAUUCCCUCCGCGACGAGAAAGCGGGCGAAAAUCCCAAAGCCGCCCAGGGUUUCCAGAGAGCUGGCCCUUGCUUUCAAUCCCAAUUCCGAUACCCGCUCCUUCAAGAUCGUAUCUUUCCCGUUGCCGGGGGAUGAUCCCGUGCGCCGCCGUGGCUCCGACGAGGUCGACGUCUUCUCGUCGGAUACCGGCAGCUAGAGCACUGUCGGUGGAAUCGCCGGCCUCAGUGAGGCUGGAACAUUCUUUUAUUCACCAACAAACACUUCCGGCAGAUUACGAGCAUAUCAAUAACAUAUAUGCAUGGUAAUUAAGAUCAUGGCCGUCCUUUACAAAUUCCAUCAUGGCAGAUGCUCAUUGUGCAACAAAUUUUCAGCACCAGGUUCAUCAUGGGCUCAUUGUGCAACAAAGGUAAUUUCCGGAUUAUAACAUUUUAGCCUAUUUUUAAAAGUAGUUGUGGAGGCUGAAGAUCAAAUCAUGUGAUAACAAUGUUAGUUUCUUUUCAGCUAUAUUGGAUAACGUGUUUGUCAAAAUAUUUGCAAUGUCUUAUUAAUGCUGUUUAUAAGUAACUGAUUCAUAGUCUUGUGCCUUCCAACACAAGUUAAAACUUAUUUUAGUAGAUCUCAAAUAUAGUAUCAUACUACUUGAAAUAGAAAUUUUAUACUUUUAACUUAAAACAGGAAGAAAACAAUCUCAUAGGAUUUGAUAUUUCUAUACUAGGUA
This is a long non-coding RNA of Asparagus officinalis (garden asparagus), 845 nucleotides long. RefSeq lists it as uncharacterized. Lineage: Eukaryota; Viridiplantae; Streptophyta; Magnoliopsida; Asparagales; Asparagaceae. The record is from RefSeq and is a predicted model, not a curated record. The transcript is spliced from 3 exons.